Molecule: ribosomal RNA, 393 nt
Filed under: uncultured bacterium
Lineage: Bacteria
Description: partial 16S ribosomal RNA
Rfam family: Bacterial small subunit ribosomal RNA
Source: RNAcentral
AUACGGAGGAUGCGAGCGUUAUCCGGAUUUAUUGGGUUUAAAGGGAGCGUAGGUGGGAUAUUAAGUCAGCUGUGAAAGUUUGGGGCUCAACCUUAAAAUUGCAGUUGAUACUGGUUUCCUUGAGUACGGUAUAGGUGGGCGGAAUUAGUGGUGUAGCGAUGAAAUGCUUAGAUAUCACGAAGAACUCCGAUCGCGAAGGCAGCUCACCGGGCCGGAACUGACACUGAUGCUCGAAAGUGCGGGUAUCAAACAGGAUUAGAUACCCUGGUAGUCCGCACAGUAAACGAUGAAUACUCGCUGUUUGCGAUACACUGUAAGCGGCCAAGCGAAAGCGUUAAGUAUUCCACCUGGGGAGUACGCCGGCAACGGUGAAACUCAAAGGAAUUGGCGGGG